Molecule: long non-coding RNA, 1496 nt
Filed under: Capsicum annuum
Lineage: Eukaryota; Viridiplantae; Streptophyta; Magnoliopsida; Solanales; Solanaceae
Description: long non-coding RNA (CANN_LNC000679)
Source: RNAcentral
GCAGAAUACUAUAAAAAUUAAUAUAGUAUUCGAAUCGAACGCUCAAGUUAUAUACAUCGAACCAUGUAAAAUCAGAUCAUCAAAAAAAAAAAAUAUUUACAAAUCUUGAGGAGAUUUGUAGUUUUUUUUUAUAGUUACAGGUGACCUGAUUGAAAUGUAAGAAUUUCUCACACUUCCGAUGUAAUUCGAAGAAAACGAAAAAAUGUUAUAACCCCUGAGUCUUAGUUGAUGUGUCUUUAUUUCAUUUUUGGAUUUGUAUAAGAGAAAUAUCAUUUUUCAUAUUUGAUAAUUCUUUAAUUCUAUGAUGUGUCAUGUUUAGAAUCAAAAGCGUUAAAUGAUAUUUUGAUAAAUUAUUUAUAUUAUUAAUUUGAAAAUGCAAUCAGAUCUAUCUGUUUCAUCCAUUAAUUAUAACAGGUGUUUUUUGGGAUCAAUGUUAUAUUUGAAACAUAGGUUAAAGAUAUUGCUCAUGAGGAGAAAGUUGCAGAAUACUAUAAAAAUUAAUAUAGUAUUCGAAUCGAGCGUUCAAGUUAUAUACAUCGAUCAAUGUAAAAUCAAGUCAUCAAAAAAAAAAAUUAAAAAUUUACAAAUCUUGGUGAGAUUUGUAAGUUUUUUUUUUUUUUUUUUAUAGAUAUCGAUGGCCUGAUUGAAAUGUAAGAAUUUCUCACACUUAUGAUGUAAUUCGAAGAAAACUAAAGAAAAUGUUAUACCUCUAAGUUUUAGUUGAUGUGUCUUUAUUUCAUUUUUGAAUUUGUAUAAGAGAAAUAUCAUUUUUCAUAUUUGAUAAUUCUUUAAUUCUAAGAUGUGUUAUGUUUAGAAUCAAAAAGAGUUAAAUGAUUAGUCUGACGAAUGGAGCAAACUCUGUGGCCAGUUCCCUAUCGCAAAAUGCGCCGAUCGAGGAAUGGAGGAUUAGUCUCACGGCUGCCGGCUGUGGGGAUACCUUGGGAAACAAAAAAAAAGAAGAGUUUAAUGAUAUUUUGAUAAAUUCUUUAUAUUACUAAUUCGAAAAUGCAAUCAGAUCUAUCUAUAACAUCCAUUAAUUAUAACAGGUGUUUUUUUGGGAUCAAUGUUAUAUUUGAAACAUGGGUUAAAGGUAUUGCUCAUGAUUGUCUUGAAAAAGUUGUUGCAGAAUACUAUAAAAAUUAAUACAGUAUUUGAAUCAAGCGUUCAAGUUAUAUACGUCGAUCAAUGUAAAAUCAAGUCAUAAAAAAAAUUAAAUUUUUUUACAAAUCUUGAUGAGGUUUGUAGUUUUUUUUUAUAGAUAUCGAUGACCUGAUUGAAAUGUAAGAAUUUCUCACACUUACGAUGUAAUUCGAAGAAAACGAAAAAUGUUAUACCCCUAAGUCUUAGUUGGGCCUUUGAGCUGUAGGUGAUAAAAAAGUUUGAAAAUGAGGUGUAGGUGACAAAGUCUUAAUAAUUGAGUGUAGAUGACAAUUACUUUAUUAUGGAUUAAGAAAGUUGGAGAAGUUCGAAAAUAACCCACAAGUUUUUGAAUUUAC